This is a non-coding RNA of Populus trichocarpa (black cottonwood), 120 nucleotides long. NCBI's taxonomy places the organism in Eukaryota, Viridiplantae, Streptophyta, Magnoliopsida, Malpighiales, Salicaceae. The record is from Rfam.
AUCCCAGCUAAACUUUGCUUGUGUUUAUCUGAUUCAUGGGAGGCCAGCAUCAAUAUUUGAAGCUUCGCUGAUAGCACCUUUUUGUUUUUAGGUGUUCCAAUAGUAGCUUUCCAAAUAACU